This is a non-coding RNA of Podarcis lilfordi (Lilford's wall lizard), 69 nucleotides long. The record is from the annotation of a GenBank genome assembly. NCBI's taxonomy places the organism in Eukaryota, Metazoa, Chordata, Lepidosauria, Squamata, Lacertidae.
GGAUAGCUCAGCUGGUAGAGCAGGAGACGCUUAAUGUCAGGGUUGUGGGUUCAAGACCCACGUUGGCCA